This 468-nucleotide ribosomal RNA is filed under the name uncultured bacterium. Its description in RNAcentral is "partial 16S ribosomal RNA". It matches the Rfam family "Bacterial small subunit ribosomal RNA", at positions 28 to 507 of the family's 1533-position model. The record is from RNAcentral.
GACGAACGCUGGCGGCGUGCUUAACACAUGCAAGUCGAACGGAAAGGCCCUGCUUUUGUGGGGUGCUCGAGUGGCGAACGGGUGAGUAACACGUGUGUAACCUGCCCUUGACUUUGGGAUAACUUCAGGAAACUGGGGCUAAUACCGGAUAGGAGCUCCUGCUGCAUGGUGGGGGUUGGAAAGUUUCGGCGGUUGGGGAUGGACUCGCGGCUUAUCAGCUUGUUGGUGGGGUAGUGGCUUACCAAGGCUUUGACGGGUAGCCGGCCUGAGAGGGUGACCGGCCACAUUGGGACUGAGAUACGGCCCAGACUCCUACGGGAGGCAGCAGUGGGGAAUAUUGCACAAUGGGCGGAAGCCUGAUGCAGCAACGCCGCGGGCGGGAUGACGGCCUUCGGGUUGUAAACCGCUUUCGCCUGUGACGAAGCGUGAGUGACGGUAAUGGGUAAAGAAGCACCGGCUAACUACGUG